Molecule: ribosomal RNA, 2768 nt
Filed under: Enterobacter hormaechei subsp. hoffmannii UCI 50
Lineage: Bacteria; Pseudomonadati; Pseudomonadota; Gammaproteobacteria; Enterobacterales; Enterobacteriaceae
Description: bacterial LSU rRNA
Rfam family: Bacterial large subunit ribosomal RNA
Source: RNAcentral
CGUUGCACUAUCGUUAACUGAAUACAUAGGUUAACGAGGCGAACCGGGGGAACUGAAACAUCUAAGUACCCCGAGGAAAAGAAAUCAACCGAGAUUCCCCCAGUAGCGGCGAGCGAACGGGGAGCAGCCCGGAGUCUGAAUCAGCUUGUGUGUUAGUGGAACGGUCUGGAAAGUCCGACGGUACAGGGUGAUAGUCCCGUACACGAAAGCACACAUGCUGUGAACUCGAAGAGUAGGGCGGGACACGUGGUAUCCUGUCUGAAUAUGGGGGGACCAUCCUCCAAGGCUAAAUACUCCUGACUGACCGAUAGUGAACCAGUACCGUGAGGGAAAGGCGAAAAGAACCCCGGCGAGGGGAGUGAAAAAGAACCUGAAACCGUGUACGUACAAGCAGUGGGAGCCUCUUUAUGGGGUGACUGCGUACCUUUUGUAUAAUGGGUCAGCGACUUAUAUUCUGUAGCAAGGUUAACCGUAUAGGGGAGCCGAAGGGAAACCGAGUCUUAACUGGGCGUUAAGUUGCAGGGUAUAGACCCGAAACCCGGUGAUCUAGCCAUGGGCAGGUUGAAGGUUGGGUAACACUAACUGGAGGACCGAACCGACUAAUGUUGAAAAAUUAGCGGAUGACCUGUGGCUGGGGGUGAAAGGCCAAUCAAACCGGGAGAUAGCUGGUUCUCCCCGAAAGCUAUUUAGGUAGCGCCUCGUGAACUCAUCUUCGGGGGUAGAGCACUGUUUCGGCUAGGGGGCCAUCCCGGCUUACCAACCCGAUGCAAACUACGAAUACCGAAGAAUGUUAUCACGGGAGACACACGGCGGGUGCUAACGUCCGUCGUGAAGAGGGAAACAACCCAGACCGCCAGCUAAGGUCCCAAAGUCAUGGUUAAGUGGGAAACGAUGUGGGAAGGCACAGACAGCCAGGAUGUUGGCUUAGAAGCAGCCAUCAUUUAAAGAAAGCGUAAUAGCUCACUGGUCGAGUCGGCCUGCGCGGAAGAUGUAACGGGGCUAAACCAUGCACCGAAGCUGCGGCAGCGACGCUUAUGCGUUGUUGGGUAGGGGAGCGUUCUGUAAGCCGUUGAAGGUGUCCUGUGAGGGGUGCUGGAGGUAUCAGAAGUGCGAAUGCUGACAUAAGUAACGAUAAAGCGGGUGAAAAGCCCGCUCGCCGGAAGACCAAGGGUUCCUGUCCAACGUUAAUCGGGGCAGGGUGAGUCGACCCCUAAGGCGAGGCCGAAAGGCGUAGUCGAUGGGAAACAGGUUAAUAUUCCUGUACUUGGUGUUACUGCGAAGGGGGGACGGAGAAGGCUAUGUCAGCCGGGCGACGGUUGUCCCGGUUUAAGCAUGUAGGCGGAGGUUCCAGGUAAAUCCGGUACCUUGUUAACGCUGAGGUGUGAUGACGAGGCACUACGGUGCUGAAGUGAUAAAUGCCCUGCUUCCAGGAAAAGCCUCUAAGCAUCAGGUAACACGAAAUCGUACCCCAAACCGACACAGGUGGUCAGGUAGAGAAUACCAAGGCGCUUGAGAGAACUCGGGUGAAGGAACUAGGCAAAAUGGUGCCGUAACUUCGGGAGAAGGCACGCUGAUAUGUAGGUGAAGUCCCUGCGGACGGAGCUGAAAUCAGUCGAAGAUACCAGCUGGCUGCAACUGUUUAUUAAAAACACAGCACUGUGCAAACACGAAAGUGGACGUAUACGGUGUGACGCCUGCCCGGUGCCGGAAGGUUAAUUGAUGGGGUUAGCGGCAACGCGAAGCUCUUGAUCGAAGCCCCGGUAAACGGCGGCCGUAACUAUAACGGUCCUAAGGUAGCGAAAUUCCUUGUCGGGUAAGUUCCGACCUGCACGAAUGGCGUAAUGAUGGCCAGGCUGUCUCCACCCGAGACUCAGUGAAAUUGAACUCGCUGUGAAGAUGCAGUGUACCCGCGGCAAGACGGAAAGACCCCGUGAACCUUUACUAUAGCUUGACACUGAACACUGGUCCUUGAUGUGUAGGAUAGGUGGGAGGCUUUGAAGCGUGGACGCCAGUCUGCGUGGAGCCAACCUUGAAAUACCACCCUUUAAUGGCUGGUGUUCUAACGUAGACCCGUGAUCCGGGUUGCGGACAGUGUCUGGUGGGUAGUUUGACUGGGGCGGUCUCCUCCCAAAGAGUAACGGAGGAGCACGAAGGUUGGCUAAUCCUGGUCGGACAUCAGGAGGUUAGUGCAAUGGCAUAAGCCAGCUUGACUGCGAGCGUGACGGCGCGAGCAGGUGCGAAAGCAGGUCAUAGUGAUCCGGUGGUUCUGAAUGGAAGGGCCAUCGCUCAACGGAUAAAAGGUACUCCGGGGAUAACAGGCUGAUACCGCCCAAGAGUUCAUAUCGACGGCGGUGUUUGGCACCUCGAUGUCGGCUCAUCACAUCCUGGGGCUGAAGUAGGUCCCAAGGGUAUGGCUGUUCGCCAUUUAAAGUGGUACGCGAGCUGGGUUUAGAACGUCGUGAGACAGUUCGGUCCCUAUCUGCCGUGGGCGCUGGAGAAUUGAGGGGGGCUGCUCCUAGUACGAGAGGACCGGAGUGGACGCAUCACUGGUGUUCGGGUUGUCAUGCCAAUGGCACUGCCCGGUAGCUAAAUGCGGAAAAGAUAAGUGCUGAAAGCAUCUAAGCACGAAACUUGCCCCGAGAUGAGUUCUCCCUGAGACUUUAAGUCUCCUGAAGGAACGUUGAAGACGACGACGUUGAUAGGUCGGGUGUGUAAGCGCAGCGAUGCGUUGAGCUAACCGAUACUAAUGAACCGUGAGGCUUAACCUU